GACAAGUGGCUUAGUGGUUAGAACUUCUGCCUAGGAUGCGGGAAGUCGCGAGUUCGAACCCCGACUGAGUCA
Potamilus streckersoni is the source of this 72-nucleotide non-coding RNA. NCBI's taxonomy places the organism in Eukaryota, Metazoa, Mollusca, Bivalvia, Unionida, Unionidae. The record is from the annotation of a GenBank genome assembly.